AUUGAACGCUGGCGGCAUGCCUUACACAUGCAAGUCGAACGGCAGCACGGGAGCAAUCCUGGUGGCGAGUGGCGAACGGGUGAGUAAUAUAUCGGAACGUGCCCAGUCGUGGGGGAUAACGUAGCGAAAGCUACGCUAAUACCGCAUACGAUCUAUGGAUGAAAGCGGGGGAUCGCAAGACCUCGCGCGAUUGGAGCGGCCGAUAUCAGAUUAGGUAGUUGGUGAGGUAAAGGCUCGCCAAGCCGACGAUCUGUAGCUGGUCUGAGAGGACGACCAGCCACACUGGGACUGAGACACGGCCCAGACUCCUACGGGAGGCAGCAGUGGGGAAUUUUGGACAAUGGGCGGCAAGCCUGAUCCAGCAAUGCCGCGUGCAGGAUGAA
RNAcentral lists this ribosomal RNA (383 nucleotides) under uncultured bacterium. RNAcentral's name for it is "bacterial SSU rRNA". It matches the Rfam family "Bacterial small subunit ribosomal RNA", at positions 30 to 412 of the family's 1533-position model. The record is from RNAcentral.